GGAAGUGAUUCACGUAAAAUCUAUAUUGUACAUUAUUUUUAAAUUGAUGACACUUUAAACUCCUUACAUUGAACUUUGUUUAAUGUUAAGGAUCAAGUUUAAUGUCACAAUUUUUAUGAUAAACCUGUUUACAAUAUAGUUUACCGCAUUUCUACCUUCCUUAAUAUAAAAAAGAAAAUGUCGCGACCCAUUGGAUUCCAGUCAAAGAAAUUAUAGAAAGUCCCAUAUAACCGGGCAUUUUAUUCAAAAAAUAAAAUGUCUUGUUUUGUUGUAUGUGGAUCUAUAAAAUUAUCUGACUGAUUAUUCGAUGGUAUCAAAAAAACAAAAAAAUAAGACUAACCCGCACAUUUAUGAUGCGUUUGAAUAUUUUUGCAAUUAUUUUUUUUUCAAUGUGAUUGAUUCUUUUAUUACGGACCUAAUGGUCCGUAUAAGAGUAAGCAU
Molecule: ribosomal RNA, 441 nt
Filed under: Gonolabis forcipata
Lineage: Eukaryota; Metazoa; Arthropoda; Insecta; Dermaptera; Anisolabididae
Description: partial 28S ribosomal RNA
Source: RNAcentral